Caretta caretta (loggerhead turtle) is the source of this 2527-nucleotide non-coding RNA. The record is from RefSeq and is a predicted model, not a curated record. NCBI's taxonomy places the organism in Eukaryota, Metazoa, Chordata, Testudines, Cheloniidae.
GAAGGAGAGCCACCGCGGUGCCGUGUGGGAUGCCGGAGGAGCAGGGAGUGGGCGGUUCCGGUCCGGAGAGCGGCCUGGCAGCUGGGCGAGCGCGGAGGCGGCGAAGGCUCUCGGGGGGUUGGGCCCAGGUUCUGAAUCUUGCAGUGACGGAACAUGUCUCAGUCAGGUGAAAAAGUAAAGUUUUCUGACUCAGCAGGCUAUGUGGGAUUUGCUAAUCUGCCCAACCAGGUCCACAGGAAGUCUGUAAAGAAGGGCUUUGAAUUCACUCUAAUGGUGGUUGGAGAAUCUGGUUUGGGAAAAUCCACCUUAAUUAACAGUUUAUUCCUGACUGAUCUUUAUCCAGAACGUUACAUUCCUGGAGCUGCAGAGAAAAUAGAGAGAACAGUCCAAAUCGAAGCUUCUACAGUAGAGAUUGAGGAGCGAGGGGUGAAACUCCGUUUAACAGUAGUUGAUACACCAGGAUAUGGCGAUGCCAUUAACAGCCAGGACUGCUUCAAAACAAUCAUCCAUUAUAUUGACAAUCAGUUUGAAAGAUACCUUCACGACGAGAGUGGUCUGAACAGGCGCCACAUUAUAGACAACAGAGUCCACUGCUGUUUUUACUUCAUAUCACCCUUUGGGCAUGGGCUGAAGCCUUUAGAUGUAGAGUUCAUGAAAGCUCUUCAUGGAAAAGUCAACAUUGUCCCUGUGAUUGCCAAGGCUGACACUCUGACACUGAAGGAGAGAGAGAGGCUGAAGAGAAGGGUUCUGGAUGAGAUUGCUGAGCAUGGCAUUAGGAUUUACCAGUUGCCUGAUGCAGAUUCUGAUGAAGAUGAGGAGUUCAAAGAACAGACCAGGGUUCUGAAGGCUAGCAUUCCCUUUGCUGUUAUUGGGUCCAACCAACUUAUUGAGGUGAAAGGAAAAAAAAUCCGAGGUCGCCUUUACCCUUGGGGAGUGGUUGAGGUUGAGAAUCCAGAGCACAAUGACUUCCUUAAAUUGCGCACAAUGCUGGUAACACACAUGCAGGACCUGCAGGAAGUGACUCAAGAUUUGCACUAUGAGAACUUCCGAUCGGAGAGAUUAAAACGCACGGGCAAGCCUGUUGAAGAAGAAGUUGUAGACAAGGAUAGAAUCCUCCAGCAGAAAGAGGCUGAGCUGCGUCGCAUGCAGGAAAUGAUUGCACAGAUGCAGGCCCAGAUGAGGAUGAAGCCUGGGGAUGAGUGAGAUGCUGAACAUGUGGCUAACAAGUUCCAGAGCUCAUUGCUCUCCAUACGUGACUUCAAUGGGUAAACCAGCUAUAAGCAAAUGAACUGAAAAAAACAAAAGAAUUUCAAAGCUAUCUGAACCGGCUUCGUCACUUGACGUACACCUGGCAAAUGAAAUUUUAAAAGGAGAAGGAAAAAAAUGCUGCUGAUCAACAGAAGGGAAGAUGAAAUGAAACUAAUUUGAAGCAGAGAAGUCAACUAUAAGAGUGUCUGAAAUAACAGGAACGUCUCUAAAAAUAUAUGUGGGGGGGGGGGGAGGAAGGAGGAGAGGAGCAGGAAUGAGUCAAAACUGGCUAGUAAAAUGCCAAGUAUGGAAGAAAGUACUUUUUCAGAAUUGCAGCAAAGUUUUCCUAAUACAGUGCAUCCUAAUACGAGUCACUGUAUGAUUAAAUUUGAAUUCACAAGCUUUGCAAAAAAAGAUGCAUCUGUCUGUACCACUGCGAAUGGCUCAGUGAUACGAAUGCUGUAUUUAUACCAUAAAAUGUAUGGCAUUUGAAGAAAAGCCAGUUUGGGUGUUGAGAGGAAAGGGCUUUGAUUAUAAAAGCACACUUCUCACCUUUAGGAGUAAAAAGGGGGAAAAAAAAAAACCCCCAAAAAACAGAAACUUGAACUGUAUCUGGGGAAGAAUGCCGUCUUAGCUGUCACACCCUCUGGUUGUCCCUGAACGGAAUUGUGGGCGGAAAUUCUUGAUGAACCACAUACUAGCUCCUUACUUUGCCAUCAGUGAAAUAUUUCAGUGAUACACGGUUCUCUUAAAAAUGGAUCAGUGCUUUAUUCUGUUUGAUGAUGCUAUUGAACACCAGUAACAACACUCAGAUACGAUGCUGGAUGCAGCAAGACCUUGGGGAAAAAAGCAAGACCUUGGGGGGGGGAAAGUCUUGAAGAUCGUGUUGUGAAACCAUAUUUUUUUUUUAUAUAUCCAACCUUAAUCAUGUUAUAUGUAUCUUUUUUUGAUCCUCUUGGUAAUUAUGUCUUCAUGCUUAUAAUGUAGGUUUCUUAUCCUUUCUAUAUCUUUUUAUACAAAAACUAGUACACCACGCUGUUUGUUCUAGUCAUUGUGAGUGGGUUUAACAUGAUGUAUCACAUUUCAGCUAGCUUAUUCUUGACAAUUUUGUGAUAAAAUACUUUAAAAAAAAAAAAUCUUGUGAACCGUUUACAGUAAAUGUGUGUGUGUGCACAGCAUUCUAGCUUUCAUUUGCUUUGUCUUAGUGGAAGCAUUAUAUAACUUGUUACUAGUUUAAUCAUAACUUUUCUCAUAUAUAAUAUUAAAAAAAAAAAAGACA